RNAcentral lists this long non-coding RNA (637 nucleotides) under Helianthus annuus (common sunflower). Its description in RNAcentral is "sRNA HanXRQr2_Chr11g0499311". The record is from RNAcentral. Lineage: Eukaryota; Viridiplantae; Streptophyta; Magnoliopsida; Asterales; Asteraceae.
UGUGACUCUUGUUGAUGGUUCUCGGUUGUUUUUGAAGUUGAGAUAUUUUUCUCAGGUGUUCUAGAGUCUUCUCUCUUUAGGUCUAUGGUUUGUUCAUGUGCAAGUUUUUGUUUGAGCGUAAACCUGUUAGAUCUUUUAGAAAGAUGAUUUGUUGAAAGUUGUUUGAUCUCAUUUGUUUACAAUGUUUUUGACAUGGCUCUUGGGCUUUUAAUCUGUGAUUGUUUUGUCUCUGAUUCGUGUUCCGCUGUGGAUUUGUGAUCAUAUCUGCUCUGGUCUAGUGAGUUCUUGGUGGAUAUGGGUAGUGUUCUUGCUGCCGAUUCCAGAUUUUGAAGAUCCGGCUGUCUCGGAGUUUCUAUCUGUACACUUGGUAGUACAAAUCUGAUCGGAGAUCUUAGGAGGUGUGCUGGUUCUUGCUGAUAUAUGUUGUCAGAUUUUCUCUAUCCCGGUGUUAUAUUUCAAGGUGCUGGGCGGAAUUCUGUGGAAGUAAUUUAGGAAGCUGUUGUUCAAAACAAGGGUUCAACCUUUGAUGGCUGUAAAAUCCUUGAUUUGAACUGGCGAAACCCUAGCUAGGGUUUGCUAUCUCGGCAUCCUGUUGCCGGGGUAGUUGGACCAGUCUUGUGAAUUUGGGACAGGAAGG